AGUGAACGCUGGAGGCGUGCUUAACACAUGCAAGUCGAACGAUGAACCUAGCUUGCUAGGGGAUUAGUGGCGCACGGGUGAGUAAUAUAUAGAUAACGUGCCUCUUAGUCUGGGAUAGCCAUUGGAAACGAUGAUUAAUACUAGAUAUUCCUUCUGAUCUUAAGAUUAGUUGGGAAAGUUUUUCGCUAAGAGAUCGGUCUAUAUCCCAUCAGUUAGUUGGUAGUGUAAGAGACUACCAAGGCGAUGACGGGUAGCGGGUUUGAGAGGAUGAUCCGCCACACUGGUACUGAGACACGGACCAGACUCCUACGGGAGGCAGCAGUGAGGAAUAUUGCACAAUGGGGGGAACCCUGAUGCAGCAACGCCGCGUGGAGGAUGACGCAUUUCGGUGUGUAAACUCCUUUUAUAAGGGAAGGAAAUGACGGUACCUUAUGAAUAAGCACCGGCUAACUCCGUGCCAGCAGCCGCGGUAAUACGGAGGGUGCAAGCGUUACUCGGAAUCACUGGGCGUAAAGGACGCGUAGGCGGAUUGCCAAGUCUGAUGUGAAAUCCUAUGGCUCAACCAUAGAACUGCAUUGGAAACUGGUAAUCUAGAGUAUGGGAGGGGGAGAUGGAAUUAGUGGUGUAGGGGUAAAAUCCGUAGAUAUCACUAGGAAUACCGAAAGCGAAGGCGAUCUCCUGGAACAUAACUGACGCUAAGGCGUGAAAGCGUGGGGAGCAAACGGGAUUAGAUACCCCGGUAGUCCACGCCCUAAACGAUGAACACUAGUCGUCGGGAUGCUAGUCAUCUCGGUGAUGCACUUAACAGAUUAAGUGUUCCGCCUGGGGAGUACGGUCGCAAGAUUAAAACUCAAAGGAAUAGACGG
This 866-nucleotide ribosomal RNA is filed under the name uncultured bacterium. RNAcentral's name for it is "bacterial SSU rRNA". It matches the Rfam family "Bacterial small subunit ribosomal RNA", at positions 28 to 916 of the family's 1533-position model. The record is from RNAcentral.